RNAcentral lists this transfer RNA (59 nucleotides) under Rattus norvegicus (Norway rat). It matches the Rfam family "tRNA", at positions 8 to 63 of the family's 71-position model. Rfam says of the family: Transfer RNA (tRNA) molecules are approximately 80 nucleotides in length. Their secondary structure includes four short double-helical elements and three loops (D, anti-codon, and T loops). The record is from Rfam by way of RNAcentral. Lineage: Eukaryota; Metazoa; Chordata; Mammalia; Rodentia; Muridae.
UGGCUCAGUGGUUAAGAGCACUGAACUGAUCUUUCAGAGGACCUGGGAUCAAUUCCCAG